UGGAGCAUGUGGUUUAAUUCGAUGAUACGCGAGGAACCUUACCUGGGCUCAAAUGUAUGUUGACGUAUUCUGAAAGGGAUACUUCUUCGGACAAUAUCAAGGUGCUGCAUGGUUGUCGUCAGCUCGUGCCGUGAGGUGUCGGGUUAAGUCCCAUAACGAGCGCAACCCCUAUCAUUAGUUGCCAUCAGGUCAAGCUGGGGACUCUAAUGAAACUGCCUACGCAAGUAGUGAGGAAGGUGGGGAUGACGUCAAGUCAUCAUGGCCCUUACGGCCUGGGCUACACACGUGCUACAAUGGUCGGUACAAAGGGUUGCCAAGCCGCGAGGUGGAGCUAAUCCCAUAAAACCGAUCGUAGUCCGGAUCGCAGUCUGCAACUCGACUGCGUGAAGUCGGAAUCGCUAGUAAUCGUGAAUCAGAAUGUCACGGUGAAUACGUUCCCGGGCCUU
Molecule: ribosomal RNA, 446 nt
Filed under: uncultured Pseudomonas sp.
Lineage: Bacteria; Pseudomonadati; Pseudomonadota; Gammaproteobacteria; Pseudomonadales; Pseudomonadaceae
Description: bacterial SSU rRNA
Rfam family: Bacterial small subunit ribosomal RNA
Source: RNAcentral